CUAGAUUCAUCAGUGGUGUUAGAUGGGUGAGGAGGGACAGGUUUUCCUUUUGUUACUUGUUUGUUUUUUCCUGUCACGAACUGGAUGAAGAAUCAGCCUACUGAGGGUCUCCACGGAGGUUAAGCAGCAGCCAGUAUUGAGCUAGUAUCCGCUAUCCUUUGGAUCUCCGAUGUCCUUAGAGGCCCAUUGGUAUUUGUCACAGUGAUGAAAAGCUAACACAGAUCCCUCCCCCACUCUUUAAAGAGAAGCACACAAAAUGUUACCUUUGAUUUUGAACUUGGAGAAAAUGUCAGAUAAAUAGGUACAUUGAAAAUAGUCAAGCAGAAGAGUAGUCACUAUUUUACUUGAAUGUGAAGAAUCAUUCAGCUAAUGAACUGCGGUUUACCAAAAGCAAUUUUUCUAAGUAUAAUUUGGGCUUCAUAAAGAGGUUUAGUGAUCGCUACAAAACCAGGAAUCCAAAUUCUACAGAAGCUGGUCACCCCAAGAAACUCCCUCAGCUGUCUCUUAUCUUGUUCAUCUUCCCUCUUAGCCUGUUCCUUCUCUCUUGCUGACUCUCUAUUCACACAUACCUUUCCUAGCCAAUUGUAGCAACUGUGUUAUAUUCAUACCCUCCCAAGUUUCUUGCUUUUGAAUUUGCCUUCUAAUAUCCUGAGCUGACUGGGUCACAAAGUCAUAUUGAUUAACUGGUGGUUAUCAGGAACAGCAGGAUCAAAUGGUGUAUACAUUCUGUAAACUUUACAGAACUACUCAUAAAAUCUCUCAGGGCUCCCAUUGGGCUCCUACGAUGUUUCUAGCACUUUAAUCAUAUUUGUAGGCCUUUUACUCAUGGCUCGUAUCCCUGCCAGGAGGGCCAUCUGAUAAUUGCUUAAGCUGUCCUGGCCUCCUGGGGUGUUGGGGUUCCAAUCGGGCUGUUCAUUCACUGGAAAUUGCUGUUCAUGUCAAGCAUCUGGAUUUUGUGUGCCUGCUGGCAUUCUAGGAGCAUUGAUCUUUUUAAUUUCUCCUAAAACUGUAUUUCUUUAGAAGUUAACAAAGUUCUUUACAGUCCUCCCAAUUAGGACAAUGGGUAGCAAAGAUGGAAUCAAAUAAUUGAAGCAUUUUGGAGGGGUCUUGGCAGAGAAUAAAUGACCUUCUUUUUCUCUAGA
This 1142-nucleotide long non-coding RNA is filed under the name Heterocephalus glaber (naked mole-rat). RNAcentral describes it as "lncRNA (ENSHGLG00100025242.2)". The record is from RNAcentral. Lineage: Eukaryota; Metazoa; Chordata; Mammalia; Rodentia; Bathyergidae.